AACUAGUUCAUAUAUAUUUAUUUAGUGUCCGUUUCUCUCAUUCCCAUCCCUUAUGCAUUUGUUGAUCAAAGUAAAAGAGCAUUUUCUUUUGUCACUCUGUACCGUCGCAAAAUGAGCUAUCCAUACUACUCUCCUCCGCCACCACCUCCGUCUUACGACUUUGCCUCUCCGCCGCCGCUGCCGCCGCCAACUCCAGCAUGUGAUUUUGGCAUUCCACCUCCUCCGCCUAGCCCCCAUAAUGUUCACCCACCAAAACCAUCGCCGGGGUCAUGGUCGUCACCUCCACCGCCACACUCUCCCCACCAUUCCCACCCAAAACCACCUCCACCGCACUACCACCCGGUACCGCCCCCGCCAUCACAGAAUCAUCAUGUCUAUAAGAGCCCUCCCCCUCCUCAAUACCACAACCAUCCAACGUCCGCCCCACCACCAUGCGAUGAUCACCGCCCUAUUC
Molecule: long non-coding RNA, 454 nt
Filed under: Eucalyptus grandis
Lineage: Eukaryota; Viridiplantae; Streptophyta; Magnoliopsida; Myrtales; Myrtaceae
Description: long non-coding RNA (EGRA_LNC003484)
Source: RNAcentral